Molecule: long non-coding RNA, 218 nt
Filed under: Dermacentor andersoni
Lineage: Eukaryota; Metazoa; Arthropoda; Arachnida; Ixodida; Ixodidae
Description: uncharacterized LOC126545954
Source: RNAcentral
CUCCCGUGCACGCGCUCACGGCAGCGCCCGAGUCUGCCGUCCAAUGAGAAGCCACGGCGUGGCUCUUGGCCUUCGGGGCGCGUGAAAAGUGCGUUCGGCGGAGAGACGCGGUUGACUGUGGAAUAGGCUGCUGUUAACUCUUCUUUUAAAUGUGUGAAUGCUUAAUAUUGAGUUUCCGGGCACAAGUUCGCCCACAAUAAACCAGUGUGUUUAGUGUG